UACGAAGGGUGCUAGCGUUGUUCGGAAUCACUGGGCGUAAAGCGUACGUAGGUGGUUGAGUAAGUCAGCUGUGAAAUCCCCAAGCUUAACUUGGGAAUUGCAUCUGAAACUGCUCAGCUAGAGUAUGGUCGGGGAUAGUGGAAUUUCUAGUGUAGGGGUGAAAUCCGUAGAUAUUAGAAGGAAUACCGGUGGCGAAAGCGACUAUCUAGGCCAUCACUGACACUGAGGUACGAAAGCGUGGGGAGCAAACAGG
RNAcentral lists this ribosomal RNA (253 nucleotides) under uncultured bacterium. Its description in RNAcentral is "partial 16S ribosomal RNA". It matches the Rfam family "Bacterial small subunit ribosomal RNA", at positions 524 to 776 of the family's 1533-position model. The record is from RNAcentral.